GGAGGAAAGUAGGGGAUCGAAAGACCUUAUGCUUUUGGAGCGGCCGAUGUCUGAUUAGCUAGUUGGUAAGGUAAUGGCUUACCAAGGCGACGAUCAGUAGUUGGUCUGAGAGGACGACCAGCCACACUGGGACUGAGACACGGCCCAGACUCCUACGGGAGGCAGCAGUGGGGAAUUUUGGACAAUGGGCGCAAGCCUGAUCCAGCAAUGCCGCGUGAGUGAAGAAGGCCUUCGGGUUGUAAAGCUCUUUCAGUCGAGAAGAAAAGGUUGUGACUAAUAUUCAUAACUCAUGACGGUAUCGACAGAAGAAGCACCGGCUAACUACGUGCCAGCAGCCGCGGUAAUACGUAGGGUGCGAGCGUUAAUCGGAAUUACUGGGCGUAAAGGGUGCGCGGGCGGUUCUGUAAGUCAGAUGUGAAAUCCCCGGGCUUAACCUGGGAACUGCGUUUGAAACUACAAGGCUAG
RNAcentral lists this ribosomal RNA (465 nucleotides) under uncultured bacterium. Its description in RNAcentral is "bacterial SSU rRNA". It matches the Rfam family "Bacterial small subunit ribosomal RNA", at positions 198 to 644 of the family's 1533-position model. The record is from RNAcentral.